This 299-nucleotide long non-coding RNA is filed under the name Elaeis guineensis (African oil palm). RNAcentral's name for it is "long non-coding RNA (EGUI_LNC050079)". Lineage: Eukaryota; Viridiplantae; Streptophyta; Magnoliopsida; Arecales; Arecaceae. The record is from RNAcentral.
UAUUUAAUUCUCUUUGUUCAAUCAAAUUGAGCUAAUUAGUAAUCUAAUUAUUAAUUAAUCAUCUAUAAAUUUACUAACACUUGAUAAAUUAAUUUAUUAUAAUUUUUAUAUAAGGUUAACCAUUAAUCGAAUUGAUGAUUAAGUCUUUGAACGAUUCUUAAUCGUUGAUCAACCAUAUGAUUAGUCAGAAAUUUCUUUUGAGUGUGACACCAUAGGUUCGAACUUAAGUCGGUAGCACAUGAAUAAUUUUCUGAACUAAUCAAUCUAACCAUUUAGUAAUGGUGAUGCGACGUCCAGAU